Molecule: ribosomal RNA, 442 nt
Filed under: uncultured bacterium
Lineage: Bacteria
Description: bacterial SSU rRNA
Rfam family: Bacterial small subunit ribosomal RNA
Source: RNAcentral
AUUGAACGCUGGCGGUAUGCUUAAGACAUGCAAGUCGUGCGGUAGAAGGCUUCGGCCUUUGAGAGCGGCGGACGGGUGAGUAACACGUGGGAAUCUGCCUAUUAGUGGGGGACAGCCCAGCGAAAGCUGGAUUAAUACCGCAUACGCCCUACGGGGAAAGCAGCAAUGCGCUAAUAGAUGAGCCCGCGUAAGAUUAGCUAGUUGGUAAGGUGAAGGCUUACCAAGGCGACGAUCUUUAGCUGGUCUGAGAGGAUGGCCAGCCACAUCGGGACUGAGACACGGCCCGGACUCCUACGGGAGGCAGCAGUCGGGAAUAUUGGACAAUGGGCGCAAGCCUGAUCCAGCAAUACCGCGUGUGUGAAGAAGGCCUGCGGGUUGUAAAGCACUUUCAGUUGGGAAGAUAAUGACGUUACCAACAGAAGAAGCACCGGCUAACUCCGUG